This is a non-coding RNA of Mus musculus (house mouse), 267 nucleotides long. NCBI's taxonomy places the organism in Eukaryota, Metazoa, Chordata, Mammalia, Rodentia, Muridae. The record is from the annotation of a RefSeq genome assembly.
AUGGCUACAAGGCUCCUCUGUUACACAGUACUUUGUCUCCUGGGUGCAAGAAUUUUGAAUUCAAAAGUCAUUCAGACUCCAAGAUAUCUGGUGAAAGGGCAAGGACAAAAAGCAAAGAUGAGGUGUAUCCCUGAAAAGGGACAUCCAGUUGUAUUCUGGUAUCAACAAAAUAAGAACAAUGAGUUUAAAUUUUUGAUUAACUUUCAGAAUCAAGAAGUUCUUCAGCAAAUAGACAUGACUGAAAAACGAUUCUCUGCUGAGUGUCCU